This 97-nucleotide ribosomal RNA is filed under the name uncultured bacterium. Its description in RNAcentral is "partial 16S ribosomal RNA". It matches the Rfam family "Bacterial small subunit ribosomal RNA", at positions 258 to 353 of the family's 1533-position model. The record is from RNAcentral.
UAACGGCUCACCAGGCGACGAUCCCUAGCUGGUCUGAGAGGAUGACCAGCCACACUGGAACUGAGACACGGUCCAGACUCCUACGGGAGGCAGCAUG